UUUUGUUAGUGGCGGUGGUGGGGCUGGACGUGAAGAGCAGAAGACGAGGCGGCGUGGAGGCUGGGUAGGAGGAGAGAGAGUGGGGGUGAAGAGGUCUAGAUGAGGUGACGGCGGAGGUUACCGCAGAGGUCGGCCUUUGGGAUUAGGCUUGGGGCCGUUGGGGUUAGGGGGGAAGCUCUACCGGUACGAGAAGUCCGGCGGAGGGUUGGGGCGCGGCUGGCGGCGCGGGUACAAGGGGCCGCGGCGGCCGGGCGGCGGCGUGAGGCCGGGGAUGAGGAUGGGGGGCCGGUGGGGAGGGAAGGUGGAGGCGGGGAUGGAGGUGAUGGGCGUCCUAGGGGUCGGGGGGUACGGGGCGGGCCAGUAGGGGAAGGGGUACGGGUUGGGCUUGCGCUUGGGGUUGGGCCCGCGAUUGGGGUACCGGCGGCGCCCGGGGUUGGGGCCGCGGGCGGAGUACGUCGACGAGCCGUCGAGGCCGAGCCCGGUGGAGCUCAGGCGCCAUAGGUACGGGGGCGGCAGCAGCCUCAAGCGGCGGCGCGUCGGCAGCGGCGAGGGCCGCUACGGUAGGCGCGGCGGCCGCUCCUACGAGUCGUCGUGGUCGUCGUUCCACGGGUCUCCAGCCGAAGACCCACCGCCCCUGUUCCGCCACGUGUUGCAACUGAGCUCCGACGGACCCCUCCGCGUCGGCGGUGUCGACCUCCACUGCGGCUAGUGGUUCAUGUGCAGUCUGGGUCCAGAACACGACCCGUCCGUCUAGCGACACUUGGCCUGCAUGUAGCAGAUACCCGAGUUCGACCCCUUGUAGGCACACGAUUUGUAGUUGUGGCGCGAAGCCAGUGACGAGGCACCGGUAUGUGUCUCCCAGUGCCUGUACCGAAAGAAGCGACUCCUGCAGGUAGCAAAUCGUUCGCGUUCACAACUACCUGCCUAUAUGCACACCUCCUAACUACUCCCCGGGCUACGUCUUUUAUUUGGUGUUUAAUGUCCUUUCUAUCUUCAACGGUAUGUUUAACAUCCACUACGGCUUCGAAUGGUAGGUUCCUAUACAACCGUGAGAGUAUUCGUUCUUGAAGACAAACAACCUUAGUCUUUGACACAGAAUUCUUAUCUGUGUUGAUUUCACCCUUCCCCUUCUCUGAAAUUACGACUUCUUGGAUAGUUUACAGUAGAACUGCUCGAAUAACUACCACAUGCGAACCAACCAUCCGUACUGCCACUACACUGUCUAAACAGGUAUAGAGUCACCUACUGAUGGGCUGACCGAAGUCCUAGUUUACUACCGUGCCAUUUCUAAACCCUGCUAGCGUUCAAUCGCGGAGAUAGCUAAGAUUUCGGUGUACUACCAGUUCGACAAAUGAGUCAACGGAAAGAAUGUCGUGGACUCGCGGGCGUAGUAUAUUUAGAGUAGUGACGACCAGGAGAUUUGGCUCUUUAAUUUUAAACCCGAAGAUGAUUACUUCUUCCAACCAACAACGGUUCGCUGAGACUCUGAACCUUAACGUGCGUCUGGGACCUUGAACAAUCAAGAGACCUUGGAUUUCAGCUCCUCCGUAAAAAGUUAGUUCAACGUCACGACGGAGUUCGUUCGUAAUAGAAUGAACGCUUACGCUUCUUCUUACGAUAAAUGCGACACGUACAACUCAUACCGAGUCUGGGGCGAAGAUGGGCGAACCUAAUAUAGCGUCUAAAAUGUCAGCGCUACGGAUAAAAUUCAGAAUGACCAUGUGUACUUUCGGUUGGACUACCACUCGUCCAUCAAGUUCAGAUAACACAGGUUUGUUACCGGUAGGUCGUCAUACCCGACCUCAAUAGUGAAACAAGCGGAGGAUGUAGACUAUGAUUGAGUAAACCUUCUCUGGGACGAUAAAGUGCACAAAUACUAUGUGGAGACCUUCACCAUCCUCGUCUCAGUAGGUGCCCUUGAUCGCAAUGUCUAAGAAUGUGGCAGCCAUGAAGCUCAUUUGUUAGUUGAAAACUAGUCUGACGUCUCAAACUAGAAUUCGGUAGUCGAGGUGGUGAAUGUAUGUGUCUUCCACUACCAAGACACGUAGAAGUCAGACGGGGAGAACGUAGUUUGUGACUAGAAUGACCUAGUCCUGGUCAUCCGUUGGCACUGUUUCUGGUUAGUCGAAAACUAAUAAGCUGUUCGGCUUAGUGACUCGGUCAACGGAACUGAUCCGUUCUGUGUGGGUACGGUUUUGGUCAACGGGAGCGAUCCGUUCUAUGUGGGUACGGUUUUGGUCAACGGGAACGAUCCGUUCUAUGUGGGUACGGUUUCCUGUUAAAACCUUUCCUACUUAAUUCUCUGUCGUUGUCACUACAAGUCUACGAGGGUUUAGGAGCGUACUACAAAUUCCAUCCUCCUUUACGGUGAGUAGAGUAUUGAGGUAGACUUUAAUAUAGUCCACGAGACAGACGACUUUCGUUAGUCUAGAGAUUUAGACUACCACGUUUUUAGGUCCUACUGAGAUAAUCAUCGGGAGCCUAACGUCUUCACCUUCGUUUUGUACAGUUACUCCCAUUUAGAUUAGUACUAAACCUUGAACUUCGACAGUUCCUUCGAGUUCAACAGGCACUCUUGAGUCUCUUUCUAGUUUUAAGCAACCUCGUUUGACAACUUUACUAGUCACUCGCAAGUCAUUGUUGACUAUUCAUAUCGCACCUUCUUAGUGCCAGUGGCAGACUAUCUGACCAGGGACUGGUAUGACCACGACGACCUCUUUUACAAAGUUUGUUUUGGUAUCUUUUUGGACCGUAUUCACUGAGGAGACACAGAUCCCUCGUUAGUAGAAGUAUAUGUUUCCUGUUCCAAAAAGUAGGAGUUCGUAGACCAGUCAGUAGUGGAAGAUGUUCGCGUAAAUUGAGUUGACUCAGAAGUGUACUUGGACAGUCGUCACGUAUGGGAGGAUAACUUAGGAGAAGUCUUCAACGGCUAUACGACGUUGUCGAUUAUCGGUACGUCUUCCUAUACGUCUUCGUCGAUCCAUGAUAGCAAUAACGAGGGUAACGCUUCCUUCCGUUUUCUUAACUUUGUAGUGAUCCGGCAUGUUACCUCUUUAGAUAGUUCCGAUCGUAACUACGGAACACCCGAGCAAAGGACCUCCUCUUGUGUUUUGCACUCUUCCGACUUUCCCUUGCUUACGUCGUUUACUGGUGAGAGUAGUGUUCGAGUUAUUUGUUCCUGGAAGGACGAUACAACCUAUUCAAUCAUUUCUUUCUUCAAGGAAGUGAACCUGGACAACAACGUGCCCGUUACUGUGGAUAAUAACUCUUCAGGAAUUGGAGAUAUCAACGACUACGUCAAGUCUUUCGCCACCCACUGUUCCACCACUUAGUCGACCUGUUUAGACAAUGACGUUUUGAACUUCGAUGUGAACGAUCCGUUUAGGUUUACGUUAAAGUAUGUAGACAUUUUGUCUGAGAAGUCCUACAAAAUGCGUGAUCGAAACUUAGUAACGAACAAGGUCGUAAACUUGUUAGUACGUUCUGUUACAAACUCGUUCAUCUGUCACGUAAGGUCUUUCCUUACAGACUCGUACGACAACGAUAAGUCGUCGUCCAACUCCGUCGUGUAUGAGGUAACCACGAAUGAAAUUUCCUUUGAUAGUGAAGACGCAGGAGUUAGUGGGUCUUAGAGUGUAGUCUCAAUGAACUACCCGUAGCGUUUUAAAACCGCGACCAAUGUAGUCCGUUGCGGUUACGCGUUUUAUGUUUACAAGACGUCGGGUUGUUACCAGGAUAGUGACCGGGCGGUCUCCAACUCCGUGGUAAUCUGGGCUACUUCCUCGACAGUUCUGACGAUAGACUUGUGUUUAAACUGCUCCGAAAAUGUCAUCGUGAAGUUUCUUCACUGCACAGUUAACACAGAACCAAUACGAGAGUCCAACUAAACGCACCUAAUACAUGUUACCGGGGUCAGGGAGACUUGGUCCCUCAGGAAGAUCGGGAUGAGGUCGUCGAUCGUCAACUAUAACCGUGGCUCUGUAGGGCCUUUUAAGUCACCUACUGUCUACAACGGUACCGCUAGUUAGGCUGUCUGGUUCAGUAGCGGUAUGUACAUUCCGGGUAGAAGCUCGUUCAGAUGCGGUUCAACCGAGUGGUGGCCAGCGAGGGGUGGUGGUCAGGUAACCUAUUAUCGUUAGAAGCGAACGAAUACGUACAGUAGUUGAGUCAAGACGAAUCGAUGUUCACUAAGAUCGACCGACGUCUUUGUCACCCCCUCAUACUACCAGAUAAGAAAGAAACAUAUCUCUCUUUUAAAACUCCUUUGGAUCUUCCUGCUACUUUUGACAGUGGUUCUUUUUAACAAUUCCCGACUACAUGGGCGGGGGACCACAUUUAAUCCGAACAUAACCUGAAUUUAACCUCAUAAAGGUACACUUGACAGAUGUUCAGAGAAACAAGAACUCGUGUGUCAGCAGGAAACAUCGAGGUUCAAAACUAUCACCAUCGUCGGCGAACGUCACCACUCACCGACAACGAAAGUGGGUUUUAUACUAACUACAACAAAGUCCACACACCUUCGACACGACUG
This 4531-nucleotide ribosomal RNA is filed under the name Triticum aestivum (bread wheat). RNAcentral's name for it is "partial small subunit ribosomal RNA". Lineage: Eukaryota; Viridiplantae; Streptophyta; Magnoliopsida; Poales; Poaceae. The record is from RNAcentral.